This is a long non-coding RNA of Lagenorhynchus albirostris (white-beaked dolphin), 1392 nucleotides long. RefSeq lists it as uncharacterized. The transcript has 6 exons. Lineage: Eukaryota; Metazoa; Chordata; Mammalia; Artiodactyla; Delphinidae. The record is from RefSeq and is a predicted model, not a curated record.
UAUCGACAACCUGUUUGUUGCCUCCAAUCUUUGAUUUUCUCAUCAGAGGCCCCCAGCUGGCUCCCCACAUCUGAAGGCAGCCAACAGAAAUCAAAGGGAUGGUCCCCUUCUGCUCAGAAGAAAUAGAAGAAAAGCAACUUCCAUAAAAACAGACUUGGGAGGAAUCCACGGCAGGGAGAAGAAAGUGGGGAGAUCAUUCCUGGACAUGGCUUCUAGGGGUUGGCGGUACCUUCCAAGAUAACGCCAAUCAGGGUCAUAGUGGCUGCCUCCCUCCCACCCAGGAGACGCCCAGGCUGCCCUAUGGAUUUUCAGGCUCCUGGUCACUGGCUCUCUGCAGGAAGUCAGUUGUGCAUUUGCACUGGAAUGAGUGCUUAGGGCAAAGGCACCAAGCUGUCACUGGUUAAUAUUUCUUUGGAGUAGAAGCAGGUACACAUCAAAUCUGCUGUGUGUGGCCCUUCACAUCUCCUGAGCUUUCUAACACUCCUGGUGACAUAGGAGUGAUUUACCAAAGGCAAAGGGCAUUUGUGUUACACCGAGGGUCUGUUUCCACCUUGGAUCCCCGGUCUUCCUGUGUGAGUCUGGAGGCCUGCAUCCUUGUUCUCAGAAACUGUGGUUUCAGGGGCCACCUUAUUCCCCAGGCUGAUCCUCCCAGGUGCUCGGCUGCUGCCUGACUGGGGCCAUCACUUCUGGAGUUUGAACUGCAGAUUAUUCGUCAGAAUCUUUGUGAUGCCCUGAUGCCCUGCUCAGAGCUAUCAUUUACCAAGCAUUGAUUCUUGCAAGGUGUUUACAUAUGUCAUCUAACUUAAUCCUCACAGGGAUCCUGUGCUCACUUUACGAGAAAGGAAUUCUGUCCACGCCGGCCACGUUCACCCAAACUGACCCAUGUAGACCCAGCUAAAGAUUUGUCAGGGCUUGGGGAGGAAACGAAAUGAAGUUCAAUGGAAUCAAAGUAGCCUGAGUGGUGUGAAGUGAGCUGAUGUCAGCAGUGGUUCCCCACGCAGCUUGCCACCGUCUCCCAUAGCACAUCUCCUUGGACUGGCGGGACAGGCACAAGAAGGAGCAAUGGGGUUAAGUGGACAAGAAGGAAUGGUGGUUAAGCGCCUAAGGUAACAGAUUGGAGUCAUCUUGAAUCACAGAUGACCAGCGGUGAAGACCACCUGGUACAAUGAUGGUCCCUCUUGUUAAGGAAGAAGCAGUGAAAAACGGUGAAAGAGCAUAUGAAUCUAGUCUACUCAAGUUUGGAGGAGGGGAUGAAGAUUCUUUCCAGAAGCUCCAACCUUGACGAGAGAGUAGGAAAUACGUCUCCGCUUUGACAGGAACAAUGUGUGACAUGAAAGACCUCAGAUGCUGUGCAGGUUUGUGACGGUUCUUCAGAAGAAAGCAUCCCCUGCC